CUACGGGGGCGCACCAGUGGGGAAUAUUGCACAAUGGAGGAAACUCUGAUGCAGCAACGCCGCGUGGAGGAUGACACUUUUCGGAGCGUAAACUCCUUUUAUAUAGGAAGAAGAUGACGGUACUAUAUGAAUAAGCGCCGGCUAACUCCGUGCCAGCAGCCGCGGUAAUACGGAGGGCGCAAGCGUUACUCGGAAUCACUGGGCGUAAAGAGCGUGUAGGCGGAUUAAAAAGUCAGAAGUGAAAUCCUAUAUCUUAACUAUAGAACUGCUUCUGAAACUCUUAAUCUAGAAUAUGGGAGAGGUAGAUGGAAUUUCUGGUGUAGGGGUAAAAUCCGUAGAGAUCAGAAGGAAUACCGAUUGCGAAGGCGAUCUACUAGAACAUUAUUGACGCUGAGACGCGAAAGCGUGGGGAGCAAACAGGAUUAGAUACCCUCGUAGUC
Molecule: ribosomal RNA, 440 nt
Filed under: uncultured bacterium
Lineage: Bacteria
Description: partial 16S ribosomal RNA
Rfam family: Bacterial small subunit ribosomal RNA
Source: RNAcentral